UAUCCCCAUAUUCAUUGCAAAUAUUAACCAUUGAUUUUGUAGUUUAUUUGGGGAUAAGAAAUGAUUAAAAAAAAGAAGGACUGCUGCACAUCUCUCAAUGGAGACAACUAGACUUACACAAUCCUCCACCAACCUUUUCAAGUCAUCAUCCAUGAACAUACAUUAGAUUGUGCAUACUUCUUCCAUAUAUGUUUUCCAAAGAUGGUGCACUAGUCAAGCUUGCUCUACAUUGUAGGGCUUUACUUAUUUAUAUAUUUUAUAAAUUAUCAUAUUUUUGCCUCCAGCCAUGGAUAAAUGCACCCAGAAGGUGUUGUAGAAGCCUUCUAAACUUAUUUAUUAAUUAUUUUUAAUUUGUGCUUUGGUGUACCCUCCACACCCACUUGUGUAAAACCCACAAAUGCCAGGUUUACCCUCCACCUCAGCAACUAUUAAACUAAUUUGGGAAUGCUUCAAAGGUUGACCAAAUGAGUAGAACUUUUUUUAGCUGCUAUUCCACAACUUGCACCAUUCUACAGAGCCUUGCAUCCAAAUGUGCUGCAGAAUAGUAUUUUUGUGGAUUCACUUUCCUUGGCAUGCAAGAUUUCCUUCCUAAAUCCAUCAGAUCUUAAGAUUCUGUUGUCUUUGUAGAGGUUUCCUAUGGGUCAAGAUGGUCUUGCAGUAUUCCAUUCUUUGUUCUAAUUCCAUUGUAAAUGCUUCUUCCUCACUCAA
Molecule: long non-coding RNA, 708 nt
Filed under: Physcomitrium patens
Lineage: Eukaryota; Viridiplantae; Streptophyta; Bryopsida; Funariales; Funariaceae
Description: long non-coding RNA (PPAT_LNC005406)
Source: RNAcentral